RNAcentral lists this small nuclear RNA (105 nucleotides) under Castor canadensis (American beaver). Lineage: Eukaryota; Metazoa; Chordata; Mammalia; Rodentia; Castoridae. The record is from RNAcentral.
GUUUUAGUAGCACAUGUACUAAAAUUGUAAAAAUACAGAGAAUAUUAGCUUGGCCCCCUCCACAAGAAUGACAUGUAAAUUUGCAAAAAAAGUUUCCAUAGUUUU